Molecule: small nucleolar RNA, 212 nt
Filed under: Cimex lectularius (bed bug)
Lineage: Eukaryota; Metazoa; Arthropoda; Insecta; Hemiptera; Cimicidae
Description: small nucleolar RNA U3
Rfam family: Small nucleolar RNA U3
About the family: Small nucleolar RNAs (snoRNAs) are involved in the processing and modification of rRNA in the nucleolus. There are two main classes of snoRNAs: the box C/D class, and the box H/ACA class. U3 snoRNA is a member of the box C/D class.
Source: Rfam by way of RNAcentral
AAGAUCAUACUUCUACAGGAUCAUUUCUGUAGUAGAUCUUCACAAAAUCCGGCUACAACAGUCGAAUACCUUAAACCACGAUGAGGAAGCGUGGCGUUCUCCCCUGAGCGUGAGGCAGUUUUGGAAGUUCAGUAAUGCGAACUUCCAAAACAUCGAUGACCGUCAGCUUUCCCUUACCAGGGAAGGCGUGGGGAGUACGCUUUCUGAGUGGU